GACGAACGCUGGCGGUGUGCUUAACACAUGCAAGUGGUGCGACGAACCAGAGCUUGCUCUGGGGCAAAGCCGCGAACGGGUGAGUAACACGUGGGUAAUCUACCCCGAUGACCGGGACAACCCGAGGAAACUCGGGCUAAUACCGGAUGUGGUGCGGAGACAUAAGUCUCUUCACUAAAGGUAGCUUCGGCUUCCGCAUUGGGAGGGGCCCGCGGCCCAUUAGCUUGUUGGUGGGGUCAAGGCCUACCAAGGCAACGAUGGGUAGCUGGUCUGAGAGGACGAUCAGCCACACUGGGACUGAGACACGGCCCAGACUCCUACGGGAGGCAGCAGUGGGGAAUCUUGCGCAAUGCGCGAAAGCGUGACGCAGCAACACCGCGUGAGGGAAGAAGGCCUUAGGGCUGUAAACCUCUUUCAGAUGGGACGAAGGUUCUCCGGUGAAUAGCCGAGAGGAUUGACGGUACCGUCAGAAGAAGCUCCGGCUAACUACGUG
This 493-nucleotide ribosomal RNA is filed under the name uncultured bacterium. RNAcentral's name for it is "partial 16S ribosomal RNA". It matches the Rfam family "Bacterial small subunit ribosomal RNA", at positions 28 to 507 of the family's 1533-position model. The record is from RNAcentral.